UGGCGGUUAAAAGUAUCUCGCGUUGCACACGCGAGUUCCCACAGGGGAACACCUACAAUUACAGGCUAUUACAAACUGGUCGUGAGUCUGUUUCACGGCUAUGGUUUUUACAAGCUGGCCGGAGGUGGUGAAUCAGACGAAAAAGGAUGUAAUGGGGCUGCGAAGGCGAGUUCGUUGAUUCGACGUGAACGUGGAGAGAAAUAGUAUGCAGCAAAAAAAAGAACAUUCGCCAACUUACUCAAUCCAUCCAUUGUCUCUCUAACUUGAUUUCAAACAUAAAUCAUAUCAAGCUGCAAAGAAUUAAAAUUGAUCCUUCUUUAUAGCAACUUUUUUUAUAGAUUCGAGGAGAGCACACGUUAAAGUUUAUUCUUGUAUUUCAUAAGUAUUAUUGCUCGAACAUAUGCGAUUUGGAAAUUGUGAUGAACUAUAUUUUAUCUAUCGUCAAGGAUAAAUAAUUUUCCUCGUUCGAGGGGUUUGAAGGAGAAACAUUGCGGCAUCGAUCGUCCUCGAACCGUUUCGUCGUAUGAAACGAGAUAACGAGGGAAAUAAUGGCACGCCAAAGUGCACUUCAGACGGUUGCGUACUCGGGUAUUCUUCGCCGCUUGUCGAUCGGUGAACGCGAUGUUUAAGGAUCGAUCGAUCUCGUUGUGUGCUUGUGGAUGAUUUAUCAGCCAACCGAUAUAAAUUUCGCAGCGUGUAUUAAAGCAGACGUAAUCCUCCCUUCAAUGUCCGCAAUUUAGGAACAAUUUAAAUUUAAAGUCGGAAACAGCUGGGAGAAUUGUGCAAACUCGAGAAACUCGAGGUAAUUUGCAGAUGAUUGUUGGGAAAGCGGUUCGAUUGAUUCAAUCGGUUUCACGAUCUUUACGUAUUUUAAGUUUCUAAAGACAUAUUAUAGCAUAAAUAAUUCCAAAACUUUUUCAAUUGGUCGGUUACGAAAGCUGUAUAGAUUUCUUAUCAAAUUUAUCAUCAUAUUAUCUCAAUUGAUUCGGGAAUCGAUUUCGUUAUUAUUUUUUUUAGUGUCUCAGAAAUUGCAGGUCCAAUUUCUAAAAAUUGGCGAGGAUAACCAAGUUUGAUGAAUAUAAUCAUUUAAAAAAAAAUUCCAUCUGCUUUAUCUCAACUUUCGAAUUACAUUUGUUCGGUAUUUUUUGAUGCAGUGUUCGAUGUUACUUAAAAAAGUAAAUAUCGAAAAUUUUAACACGUGUCUCAUUAAAUAUAUCGAUAUAACUUUAAGACAAAAAUUCCAAAUAAAGAAACAACACGAUAUCUACUCGAGGCAAAAACUUUUCAACGCUGGAAAAGUAUUCCUAGAAGUGGCGUAACGUAAUAAUCCGCGAAGAAGAACGGACGCAGUCGGCUGACCAAGGAGACGAGGCUGAAAGAGGACGAAGACGAAGAAGAAAAAGAAGAAGAAGAGGAGGAGGAGAAGGAGGAAGAAGGAGGCCGGGAACAAAUUAUAUAAAAGGACCACACACGGUGCACAAGAGGGGGCAAGGAGGCCUCGGACUGCUCGAGCAUGUGGUACAGGCGAAAUAUAUACGACUUCUCCGUGACUAUGCCCGGGGAUUUACCUUACGUCCAGCGUUUGAAUCGCUCGUUUAGGAUGAAAAGGAUCGGUGGCUCGACAGCUCUGCGCCACGUGGGUGGUGCGAGCGCCAACCGACCCCGGAAGGAUCUCACGCUACCCCCGCCAACGAGAUCCCUCCGAGAUUUAAUACGACUCGUCCGCGGCGACACUGGCAAAUCGUCGAAAAGAAGCGGCGAGAUCUCUCUCUUUUUUUAAUUAAUCUCACCUUUCGUGAUUUUUCUCCCGAUAAAAUAAAAUUUUACUCGAAUCGAACGGCAAAAGUUAUCCGCUCAUGGAUCGAAAUAAUGAAAUAAACAGAGAUUGUGAAAACUGGGAGGGGGGAAAGGAGAGCAUAAGCGUUGCGUCUGGGUUCAUCGACUUGUUUACCCGACACGCACGAUCCUUUUUGCACGGAAGCAGAGCACAGAGGAGAACGCUCCGAGUUUCGAUUUUCCUUACUCUCGUUUUAUCAUGGGUGUCGUGUUAUGCGUCUUUCGCCCGCGACGUUGGCGGAAAUCGACGCGCUAUAAUCAGACCGACUCGCCGAUUAUUAUUCAUGCCGUUGCGCGUGACUUUAUACUCGAUAAUGUAUGCACAAUGCAGCCGCGGGGAUGCGAGCUGAAAUAUUGGCCGGAAGAGAAAUUCCGCACGCGACCGUAAUUGCGUUUUCGCGAUGAGAGGGGAUCACGGCGACAAGGACGGUGAUGCCAGAUCGAUUUAUCGACCGAGAUCUCUUUCGCUUUCUCGACCCUUUUUUGCUCUGUUCCGUGCCAAUCGAAGAUUAUACGCGUGUAUCGAUAUGUUCUGCGAGUUACACCGGUAACCAGAAGCACGAGGAGAUUUAUCGUCUCGUGUUUCGAUGGUGUUACAGAUCCUUCUGUCAGAUUUUUCUAUCAUUUGUGAUACAAUUUUUAUAUUUCAAUAUAAUAAUAUAAUUAAUCAUCCAAAUUAAUUUACUUCUCGUGAUAUUCAUAUUCACAAAUUUGACUCUUGACUCGACGAAUCAUUCGAUACACUUGCUUAUCUGAAACAAUUCAUCUCCCAAUUAAAUCGGAUGAUCAAAUGUAUAUUUAAUUCGAUUGAUGGUCGGAUUAAGAAAUGCGAAUAGUGGCUGUGAAAGAUAAUAUUUUUUGCACAAUUAUAAAAAUAAAAUGUAGAACAUUGUAACACACCUAUACAUUUCGUUUGAAAAUAAAAAAAAUGUGAUUAA
Molecule: long non-coding RNA, 2774 nt
Organism: Apis cerana (Asiatic honeybee)
Lineage: Eukaryota; Metazoa; Arthropoda; Insecta; Hymenoptera; Apidae
Source: RefSeq, a predicted model, not a curated record